AGAGAGAGAAUCCCAAGCAGGCUCCAUGCUCAGUAUAGAGCCCUCCUCGGGGCCCGGUCCCACAAUUGUGAGAUCGUGACCUGAGUGAAAAUCAAGAGUUGGAUGCUCAAACUACUAAGCCACCGAGGUGCUCCUAUUUAUUUUUUAUGAAAAGUGUUUCCAGUUUCUCCUUGGCUAGUUGCAAGUCUUACUCAAAUUUUAUCUUGAAAUACACAAAUAAAAAUUAGAAGUUUAUAUAUAAAUUUACUUAUCGCUUUUUGGAUAUUUCAUAUUGUGCCCUUUCCUUAAAUCUUGGAGCAUAACAUUACUAAACAGAAACAUUAAGCAUGAAGAACCAAGAUAAAUACAUUAUGAAAAAUCAGGCUCUUUCUGAGUGUACCACACUUGGCAUAGCACAGUUCUGAAAGGUGAGCUUGCUUUUCUCCAAGAGGUAGUAAGGGUGGGAGGUCUUAGUCAGAUCAUGACAGACAAAAAACAUCCUUCAUUUUAGAAUCAUGAUAUUGUACUUGCACCUGAUCUUUAGAAGUGGUUCAGGACACACUCUACACUCCUUCAGGACUUGAACACUGAUCAUUUCCUGUACCAACCCAUGUUGCCUGUCUAGGUAGUGACGUCUACUGGCUGUAGUUUUAAGUCUCUGUAUUUUAUUCCUCUGCAGUUUAGACAGGUUGGAAAAGAGGGAGGGGAGGAUUGUGGCCUGGAAUAAUACACCAGUGGCCUGAUGUAUGUCUCAUAUUGUGAUUCCUCUAAAAAAGAAAAAAAAGAUUGAUUCUCAUUGACUCUAGGAUUUCCCUCUCUACGCCACCUCCUCAUCCUCCAGUUUCCCUUUGUCUCCAAAUGAGUAAAUCCAGUAACUAUUGGGCCUGUAAUCCUGUGAGCACUCACCAAUCCAAAGGAUAAACUCUUAGCAAUGAAAUGACCUUGAAUGAACUUCAGUGAGAUUAGCUCAGAGAAGGGAUUAAACACAUUUAUGCGAGUACAGUGCUGAGAGAAACCAAGAGAGAGCAAAGUGGCACGGUGUCCUGGGAUCCAAUGGCCUCCUGGUGCAGGAAGUGUGGGCAGCAAGACCCCAGAUACUUGCCUUACACCUCUGUGCGGAUCACAGAGGCAGAGAUGAGGGCUUACCACCAUUUCCUGGGAAGUUGCAUCAGGCUAGAAUAUAUGGCAAAACAAGCACUUCCGCUGCUCCAAUCCUCCCAGCGCUCUGAAGCAGCGUCUGUCCCUGAUACGAGCAGUGGCACAACCCACAAACCGUCAUAGCAUUGGAUGCAGACGUCCUUUCUUUUGAGGAUAUAGAUCAAGAGAUGUGGAGAAGUAUUUCCCUGGGUCUCCAGUGGUGUUAAAAGAGUAGAUGUGUGGGGCUGCCCUGCUAGCCCCGAGCACUGGAUCACGAGUGACAGAGCCACCCAUGUGGUCUUUAACACAUGUAUUUAUGAGAGGGAGGGCUGUGGAAUGUGGAGCUCCCAACAGUGUGGGGUCUGGGGCAGGGGUCACAAGGAAGCUUUUGGGGUGAUGGAAAUGUUCCAUAUCUUGAUCUGUUUGAUGGUUAUGUGAGUGUAUAUAUUUAUCAGAAUACAUUAAACUGUACACUGAGGAUCUGUGUGUUGUGCUGCAUGUAAAUUGUACUUCAAUAAAGUCCUAUUAGCAUAAAAAAUAAAGGCUACCAGAGCAUAUUUUUCUGUAUGUAAGCUAAGUGGGUAAGAACAAUAUGAUUCCGUUACUCUAACACAACUAUUUCAAGUAUUCUUUUCUCAUAUGCUCACACACAUGUGCACAAAUACACCACAUACUUUCUUCUUCUUUUUUUAAACUUGUCUGCAGUCUCACCUCACAUAUAGUUUUUAUGUCCUUGAUAUUAUAUUUUAAAUCUUUUUUUCUGUGGAGAUGGUUUUCAUGAAUGCUUUCAUCUCUUUACUCUUAUAAAUAGUAUUUCCAGUCUACCUUUUUUAUGUAUAACAUUUUAAUUUUACUAUUUUCUUGGCCUAAAUUUCCAGAUAUUAGAUGAAUGAAUAAAAGUUUAUGAAGAUU
Molecule: long non-coding RNA, 2028 nt
Organism: Leopardus geoffroyi (Geoffroy's cat)
Lineage: Eukaryota; Metazoa; Chordata; Mammalia; Carnivora; Felidae
Exons: 2
Source: RefSeq, a predicted model, not a curated record